This is a long non-coding RNA of Physeter macrocephalus (sperm whale), 2288 nucleotides long. RefSeq lists it as uncharacterized. The record is from RefSeq and is a predicted model, not a curated record. NCBI's taxonomy places the organism in Eukaryota, Metazoa, Chordata, Mammalia, Artiodactyla, Physeteridae. The transcript is spliced from 4 exons.
CUCACUGUUGCGGCCUCUCCCGUUGCGGAGCACAGGCUCCGGACGCGCAGGCUCAGCGGCCAUGGCUCACGGGCCCAGCCACUCCGCGGCAUGUGGGAUCUUCCCGGACCGGGGCACGAACCUGUGUCCCCUGCAUCGGCAGGCGGACUCUCAACCACUGCACCACCAGGGAAGCCCUAGGGUUCUUCUUGAAUUAAUUUUUGUGUAUGGUGCGAGGUAAGGGGUCAGGGUUCAUUUGUUUUUUCACCUGGUAUGGAUAUCCAGUUUUCCAGCAACCUUUGUUGGAAACAUUUUCCUUUCCCCACAGGAUUUCUUUGAUGCUUUUGUUGAAAAUCAAAUGACCUCAUCAAUAUCUAUUUAUGGCAGGAAUUCUGUUUUUUAAAAGCUCUUCCGGUGACUCUGAUGUACAUCCCUAGGGUGCAAGCCCUUGAGGUCCUAACCAUUUGCUGGUAAGAUGGUUGGUGAUUUAGAACGUUCAAGAAAUGGAAGCCACGAACGAGGUAGGUAAUUGAUUUCUUUAUCAAGAUGCCGGGCGAUACAUUUUUCACAGCUUUCAGGGAGCACAGAACAUCUAAAUCCAUUGUCUGGCAGAUGAAGCUUUCAGCUGCAAUCAUCUUUAUCUUUAUCAUCAGGGCUUUCUCCAGUUGCGGCGAGCGGGGGCCACGCUUCAUCGCAGUGCGCGGGCCUCUCACUAUCGCGGCCUCUCUUGUUGCGGAGCACAGGCUCCGGACGCGCAGGCUCAGCAGCCAUGGCUCACGGGCCCAGUUGCUCCGCGGCAUGUGGGAUCUUCCCAGACCAGCGCUAUGAACCCGUGUCCCCUGCAUCGGCAGUAGGACUCUCAACCACUGCGCCACCAGGGAAGCCCUAGAUCAUUUUUAAUGCGCGGCAUGUGGGCUCUUAGUUCCCCCACCAGGGAUGGAAGUCGUGCCCCCCGCAGUGGAAGCGCGGAGUCCUAACCACUGGACCGCCAGGGAAUUCCCUGACUGAUCAUUCUCUACAUCAUGGAAUAGACUUCUCUUCCUGUUCUUUCAUCUCUGAAAUGUAAAUGAUUCUCCAAGGUCUAUAUGAGGUGCUCUUUCUCUCUCUGCACUUCCUCUCAUAGCAGUUUAACUUAUCCACGUGGCUGCCACUUUCAUCUCAAUGAGGCUGGCCCCCAAAUCAUACCUCUAGUUUUUUGUUUGUUUGUUUGUUUGUUUGUUUUGCGGUACGCGGGCCUCUCACUGCUGUGGCCUCUCCCGUUGCGGAGCACAGGCUCCGGACGCGCAGGCUCAGCGGCCAUGGCUCACGGGCCCAGCCGCUCCGCGGCCUGUGGGAUCUUCCCGGACCGGGGCUCGAACCCGCGUCCACUGCAUCGGCAGGCGGACUCUCAACCACUGCGCCACCAGGGAAGCCCCAUACCUCUAGUUUUAAUCUCGCUAGAGCUUCGGUCCACAUUUCAAACUAUCUCCUAGACAUUUCCCCCUCAUUUUCCCAUCAGUAAGCCAAAUCCAGCCUACCUAAAUAAGAAGCAUCGUGGGGUCAUAAGCACAGAUGCUAGCAUUGGAAGGAACCGUAGAGAUGAUCUAAUCCAGACCUGCCGAACCAGGGAGCUAUGACACAAACUAGUGCCCAGUGAAUGAGGUAUGGGCGGGCGGAGAUGUUCAUCCUCCGACCCCCCCAGCGUGGCUGGAGCCUCCGGGCCAGUCACCCCUGUUCACUACAGCCUCAUCCUCUGAUGACCUUCAGAGAGGGGGGCGGGGUCUGAAUGUGAGGAAGAGGCCACCACUGGCAGCCAGAUGCGGGGCACAUCGUUGCCUACGUGGAGAUGCGGGAGGAGUUUGUGUCCCAGGUGCCCAAGGAACGCAAGGCGCAACCGGCGGGCAGGAAGUUGUGAACGAGUUGCGUGUGUGUGGAGGGGGUUCUGCGCAGGCAGCUCAGAAACUCCAUCUUCACAAACUCUGAUGCUGGAUAAUUUUGUCUGUCUGUGGCCGAUGUGCCACAAAUGAUGUCCAGACUGUGAACUGACUAUUCUAAUAGUGUCUGUGCUCUGUAAACUAGGGCUUCAAUCACUGUUUUGAAAUACUAGCUAUGAACAAGUCUGACUGGAUCAAAAAUCCACGAGAAAUUUUAUAAGCACAUUGGUCAAUGAAAGAAGAGGAAGAGCCUUAAAUAUAACUUAAAUAUAAUUUCUACUGUUGUAAAUGUUUGAAUGGUUAUCAAAGACGGUUUCAAUUUCUUUGGGUCACCUACUGCUUUUACAGUUUCUUGUCAUUUAAAGAGAUCACUGUUCAAGAGUCUCGGUCAGGAAC